GGUUGAUUUACGGUUCCCCUUAAAGAGGGUGAUGAUUGUUAAUCAGGAUAAGGAUCAUCCUAUCCUGAUUAGCUAUGAAAGUUAUUUGAGUUUGUUUCUACUGUGGUCGAAGAAGAAUGGAGGGACAUGUGUGUUCUGAGCUAGAGGUGAAUGGUGGAUGUUUCUUGAUUGACAGGGUGUUUGACGAUGAACCACUAAUCUUUCCUGAAGAUUUUAAGGUUGAUGACGAUGUGAAGGAUGAAUUGCAAAAAGAUGUUGUGUUUUGUUUUCCAUCUGUGGUGAAUCAUGAGGAAGAUAAUGUUGAGAUGGAGGUAGUUGGACAAAUGACUGGGGUUGAAUCAUAGGAAGAUGAGAAGAUUAAAAUUCAUAGAGAUGUUGGUAAGGAAGUAAGGAAGGUGGCUAAGAACAAAUGGGUGCUACGCCCAGAUUUAGUUAAAGAUUGGAGGAGGACUGCAAAGAAUGCUGAGAAUAUGCAAAAGGAUAGAGGGUCUGUUGGAGGAAGUAGGGUUGCUGAGAACAUGGGUGAGUCUUCUAGGGAUGCUGUGAAUGCAAGUUUGGCUGCUGAGGGGUCUUGGCUUACUCCUAGAGCCACUGUUGGAAUGCUGAGCCCAAGGAAGAAAAUCUGAGAGGAGUUGGCAACUCAGGAAGGAACUAGCUAUCUCAAAGAACUGGAUUUAUGAGGUGUCUAUCGUGGAAUUGUAGGGGUAUUAGGAGGAAAUACUUUAGUAGUAAUUUUAAUUUUCUAUGGAGUUUAGUUAAGUUGGACUUUUUUUGCUUGCUUGAAGUUAAGGUGUCCCUUGAUAAGGUCCUUAAGAACUUUUAUGUUAAUCAUUUUGACAAUGUAUUUUGCUGUGAUUCUGUGGGAUGAACUGGGGGUCUUUGCUUAUGCUGGAAUGAUACUAUUGUUGCUAUUAAUAUUAUAUCUUCUACUAAAUUUAUUCAA
Malus domestica (apple) is the source of this 943-nucleotide long non-coding RNA. RefSeq lists it as uncharacterized. Lineage: Eukaryota; Viridiplantae; Streptophyta; Magnoliopsida; Rosales; Rosaceae. The record is from RefSeq and is a predicted model, not a curated record.